Microcebus murinus (gray mouse lemur) is the source of this 312-nucleotide non-coding RNA. The record is from RefSeq and is a predicted model, not a curated record. Lineage: Eukaryota; Metazoa; Chordata; Mammalia; Primates; Cheirogaleidae.
GAGGAACUCAGCUCCUAUGGGACAGGGAAGCACUGAAGCUAAGGUGCUUGAAGCCACCCUGGACUCAUCAAAGAAGGAGCAUGCCGUUAAAGUGUUCACUAUUGUUUGGUGAAGGAUCUGCAUGGUUAUCCACAGAGACUGUGGAGUGUGGCUCCCCUCCGUAGAAGCACAGAAGGUCGCAUCAAAGCCAUGCUAGCCCUAGCUCUGUCCCAUCCAGGAUCCGUGUUUCAUCAAGAAUGACUGUGAUAAUAAUACAGCCCCUGUUUAAAAGCCUGUUUCAUAAGGUAGAAAAUCAAGACAAUAAGAUGCUGA